RNAcentral lists this ribosomal RNA (301 nucleotides) under uncultured bacterium. Its description in RNAcentral is "partial 16S ribosomal RNA". It matches the Rfam family "Bacterial small subunit ribosomal RNA", at positions 509 to 808 of the family's 1533-position model. The record is from RNAcentral.
CAGCAGCCGCGGUAAUACGAAGGGGGCUAGCGUUGCUCGGAAUCACUGGGCGUAAAGCGAGCGCAGGCGGUUAGAUAAGUCUGAAGUUAAAGGCUGUGGCUUAACCAUAGUACGCUUUGGAAACUGUUAAACUUGAGUGCAGGAGAGAAAAGUGGAAUUCCUAGUGUAGCGGUGAAAUGCGUAGAAAUUAGGAGGAACACCAGUGGCGAAGGCGGCUUUUUGGCCUGUAACUGACACUGAGGCGCGAAAGCGUGGGGAGCAAACAGGAUUAGAUACCCCCGUAGUCCCUGUCUCUUAUACA